RNAcentral lists this ribosomal RNA (459 nucleotides) under unidentified nematode Sourhope farm. RNAcentral's name for it is "SSU rRNA". It matches the Rfam family "Eukaryotic small subunit ribosomal RNA", at positions 75 to 529 of the family's 1831-position model. The record is from RNAcentral. Lineage: Eukaryota; Metazoa; Nematoda.
CAGACAGGGAAACUGCGUACGGCUCAUUACACCAGCCUUAAUUUACUUGACCUUGACCACCUACUUGGAUAACUGUGGUAAUUCUAGAGCUUAUACAUGCACCAAAGCUCCGAUCCUCGCGGAGAGGAGCGCAUUUGUUCGCCACAAAACCAAGCGCCCAUCUGGGCGUCCAGUGCUGAACCAGAACAACUCAGCUGAUCGCACGGUCUUGUACCGGCGACGUGUCUUUCAAGUGUCUGCCUUAUCAACUUUCGAUGGUAGUGUACCUGACUACCAUGGUUGUGACGGGUAACGGAGGAUAAGGGUUCGACUCCGGAGAAGGGGCCUGAGAAAUGGCCACUACGUCUAAGGAUGGCAGCAGGCGCGCAAAUUACCCACUCUCAACGCGAGGAGGUAGUGACGAGAAAUAACGAGACCGUUCUCAUACGAGGCCGGUUAUUGGAAUGGGUACAAUUUAAA